UAGGGAAUCUUCCGCAAUGGGCGAAAGCUUGACGGAGCAACGCCGCGUGAGUGAUGAAGGUCUUCGGAUCGUAAAACUCUGUUAUUAGGGAAGAACAAAUGUGUAAGUAACUAUGCACGUCUUGACGGUACCUAAUCAGAAAGCCACGGCUAACUACGUGCCAGCAGCCGCGGUAAUACGUAGGUGGCAAGCGUUAUCCGGAAUUAUUGGGCGUAAAGCGCGCGUAGGCGGUUUUUUAAGUCUGAUGUGAAAGCCCACGGCUCAACCGUGGAGGGUCAUUGGAAACUGGAAAACUUGAGUGCAGAAGAGGAAAGUGGAAUUCCAUGUGUAGCGGUGAAAUGCGCAGAGAUAUGGAGGAACACCAGUGGAGAAGGCGACUUUCUGGUCUGUAACUGACGCUGAUGUGCGAAAGCGUGGGGAUCAAACAGG
This 429-nucleotide ribosomal RNA is filed under the name Actinomycetes bacterium. Its description in RNAcentral is "Actinobacteria bacterium partial 16S ribosomal RNA". It matches the Rfam family "Bacterial small subunit ribosomal RNA", at positions 355 to 776 of the family's 1533-position model. The record is from RNAcentral. Lineage: Bacteria; Bacillati; Actinomycetota; Actinomycetes.